This 327-nucleotide ribosomal RNA is filed under the name uncultured eukaryote. RNAcentral describes it as "partial 18S ribosomal RNA". It matches the Rfam family "Eukaryotic small subunit ribosomal RNA", at positions 1470 to 1796 of the family's 1831-position model. The record is from RNAcentral.
CCCUUAGAUGUUCUGGGCCGCACGCGCGCUACACUGACGAAUGCAACGAGCUUAUAACCUUGGCCGAAAGGUCUGGGUAAUCUCCAAAUUUCGUCGUGAUGGGGAUAGAUUAUUGCAAUUAUUAAUCUUCAACGAGGAAUGCCUAGUAAGCGCAAGUCAUCAGCUUGCGUUGAUUACGUCCCUGCCCUUUGUACACACCGCCCGUCGCUCCUACCGAUCGAAUGGUCCGGUGAAGCGUUCGGACCGUGGCCUUUGGACGGUUCGCCGUCUGUUGGCUGCGGGAAGUUCGUUAAACCUUAUCAUUUAGAGGAAGGAGAAGUCGUANCA